UAUUAAAUAAUAUUAAAUGUUUGUGGCUUCGACGUUUGAUGAAGUGUACCUUCGAAAAAAAUCACGAGUGUUCAGGCGCUCGUGCUGUGUCUAACAAUAAAUGGAAUAUUUCAAAUAAAAAUUCUUUAAUUUUAUAUUGUAUAUAAGUGUAUUUUCAGUUAAACGUAGAAAAUUUUUAAAACAAUUAAAAAAAAUGUUUCUAUUUGAAAAAAAGUUUAUUGUUUAACCAUAAAAACCGUCACUUUUUAAGUUUUUUCAAAAAAUAAAACUAAUAAUCCGAUUUAAUAAAUUCGAUAAAAUUCUACGUUUAACUGAAGACAAUUUUGUUAUGAACAUUCUGUCCAAAAAUCACGUCAUUCGGAUAAAAUUCGACAGAGAUAUGCGAGCACCUAGCUACGAAAAUGUAGUUUUGAAGAAAAAUGUGUUUAAAAUUUUAUCGAUUAUAUUAAAAUAAAUGAAUUCUCUAUCAUAACAUUUUAAGGGUAUAUUUUUAAGACUCCAAGGAUUACAAAAGUGCAAAAAGAAUUUGAACUCUUUAAACUCGUCACAAUGGGAUGACCAUUUUAUACCAUCUGUUCCAAUUUUAAGAAGAAACUUGCAUUAAUCGGUUGCCUAUAUAAUUUUCGAGAUAAAAAAAAAAUUAAAUAUCUUGUUGGCAGAAUGUUAAAUUUAUAAAAGCUAUUACAUCUUAUAAAAUUUCAGUUCAAUAUUCAUUAAAAUACUUUAUAAAAAAAACGAGUGUAUAAUAUACAUUGAUAAUAAUAUACAUUGAUAAAAUACAUAGCUUGUUUAAUUAAUAAAUAUAAUGUUAUAUUUUCAUCCGUGUUAUAACGAUGGACAAAUUUAGAAAAUAGAGUUGAAUGAUCCGUACAUAAUGCAAGUGAUAUUAUUUUCUCCAUACAGCACAUUUUAUGAGAAAAAUGUCUCAAGGGUGUCUUUAGAAUGCAUGAGCGCAUUUCGAACGUCCCAUGGACGUUCCUAGGACAUCUGUUGUUUCUUCAUCCACAAUAUUUCUGUGUCUUGUGUUCAGUACAUGAUCUCAUCAAUAAUGAAAUAACGUUGUACUUCGUUCCGAAGUAACGUAUACGUACUGAAGCAAAGUCUGAAAUAAACUUUUCACACAAAUUCUGCAAAUUUAUGAUACACUGCGUUGCGAUAUUUUCUAUCUCCCUUGUUGCACCAUACGUAAACGAUUUUCAUAAUUUAUUGUACGAGCGUAAAGUUUCUUGACGAUACGAGUGGCAAUCAAUUGGGGAUAGCAUUCUUAAUAUUUAAUGAGGCGUUUGGGGAGGGUACCGAGUUUCUACUUCUCUUUGAAAAGCAUGUGAGCUUAUUUUAUAUUACAUGGUAAGAAGAACGAGACAGUUUUUUUUACGUUCUCAUGGAUACUAAGGAGUCUUUAGGUUAUAAGGAUUUCGAGUGGGCCAUUGAAAUACAUCGUUUAGGUUUGGAAUUUCUAGGCUUGUGGCCUAAAAAUGAAGUUGCUAUAAAAAGUUUGUGGUCAAAACUUCAUGCAAGCAUUAUUUUAAUUUUAAUAAUAUUUGUUUCUAAUGUUCCGAUGAUAAGUGCGGCUAUGCAAUCUUGGGACAAUAUGGUAACUGUAAUAGACAUUUUACGUAUAACAUUACCAGUGGUUACAGCAUCAAUCAAAUAUAUCAUCAUGAGAUGGAAACAAACAGUUCUCUUAUCAAUUAUAAAUAUGAUGGCGGAAGAUUGGAUAGCGUUUAAGUUGGAUGCAGAGAGAGUUGUAAUGAUAAAACAAGCACGAGUUGCUCGAUUGAGCAUGGUUGUUGGUUAUGUUAUCAUCAUAAUCGCAUGUCUAACGAUAACUGUUCCUACUUAUUUUGGCAUUCAAGUACUAAACCUAAUGAAUGUUACGGGUCGAUGCAAAUUGUUACCACUACAGACGUAUCAUUUCUACAAUGUAGAUAAGAGUCCGCAGUUUGAGUUAACAUUUUUUUUUCAUGUUCUAACGAUCUUUGUAGCAGGUUCUGUUUACAUGAUUGUAGAUAUUUUCUUAUUAUUAUUAGUUCUUCAUAUUUGCGGCCAAUUAGAGAACUUUAGAUAUCGACUAGUUAGUUUAGUCUCAUGCGAAGAUUUUAACAAAGCAUUAAACAAUAUUGUGACAUCCCAUUUACGUCUUAUCAGAUUUAUCAACAAAAUUGAAAAUAUAUAUUAUUUAAUGAUGUUGUUAAUGGUACUUUAUCUUGCAAUAAUAAUUUGUUUAAACAGCUUUCUCUUUACUAUUUUACUUCAUGAAAGAAAAGUAAAUGGCGCUGUUGUUGCACAAAUAUUUUAUUUGAUGAUUUUUCUUCUUGUUACAUUGACAGGUACUUUUUUAUAUUGUUGUGCGGGAGAGCUUAUAAUGGAACAAUGCAAUGCACUAUAUCGUGCCUUGUGUGAACUUGAAUGGUACAAACUAGAAUCAAGAAAGGCAAGAAAUCUUAUUUUACUAAUGACACGAGCCCACAAUCCUUGUUGCAUCACUGCAGGAAAGAUUAUUCCAUUAACAUUGACUACUUUUUGCAGUAUAUUGAAAACAUCGUCUGGCUACAUGUCUUUCUUAGUAACACAACAUGGUUAAUUCCUAACUAUAUCUAUGGGUUUUUAGACCCGAACAGUUUAAUUUAUUUCGUACCGUUGGCCUUAUGGGAUAUUCAAUUGUACAUACAAGCACUUUAAAUCUUCUUCUAUCAAUCACCAUAAGGUGAUGGUUCAAUUACUUUAAAUGUUCAAAGAGGACGCUUUAAAAGUCUGAUUUGGAUUAUUUGGAUCUACAUGAUUAAUUGGUAAGUUUUUCAUAUUUAAAAUCGAAUAUUCUAAUGAAAAGAUGGUUUUAUAUAUAGAAAAUGUAUUAUCAUUUUACAAGUGAGACGAUAAUUGGCUGCACUUACUUCAAAUAAUAAUUAGAAGUAAAAUUAUUUGUAUUUUAUGUGUUGAAAAAAAAAACAAUUAAAAUCCAUUAAAGCUUGUGGAAAAUACAGCUAAAAUGUCUCGGGUUCAAAAUACUAAUAAAUAUGUAUUAGGGUGCCUUAUCAUAAAUGUAGUUGAAAUGUGAUUAAAUAAGUUAAUAAGUUAAAUUACUUACUAAAGUAAUAGAGCUAUUUACAGCAAAGUAAUUGUGAAUAUUGGAUAGUUGUAUUUAACAUAUAUGUUACGUAAAUAUAAAGUUUUGCUUUGAAUUAA
Solenopsis invicta (red fire ant) is the source of this 3186-nucleotide RNA transcript. It is a transcript of the gene named odorant receptor 22c-like, with no coding region annotated. The record is from RefSeq and is a predicted model, not a curated record. The transcript is spliced from 8 exons. Lineage: Eukaryota; Metazoa; Arthropoda; Insecta; Hymenoptera; Formicidae.